This is a long non-coding RNA of Elgaria multicarinata webbii, 702 nucleotides long. RefSeq lists it as uncharacterized. The transcript is spliced from 4 exons. The record is from RefSeq and is a predicted model, not a curated record. Lineage: Eukaryota; Metazoa; Chordata; Lepidosauria; Squamata; Anguidae.
GCUCAGGACAUCAGCCUAGAUCUCCCAAGUUUCUACCCUGUGCAGAUUUGCUGUGGGAUACUGGGAGACUCCAGGUACAAGCAACUCAGAAGGGCUACCUGUAUUGUUGCUGUUUGGACUCUGGAAGGGGAGUGUUGAGAAACAAGACAACUUUCAGCAAUGGCAUCCUUUUUCUUUACCUUCCUUUUUUUGGUACUCCUGGUCACUCCAGGACUUACCACUGACAUCCGGAGGGCCAGGACUUGUAUAGAGGCAAGUGGGAAAUGCAGGCUUGCAAAGUGUUCUCACGAUCCAUGGCAGCGCAUUGGAAAAUGCGGAGAUAAAAGGUCUUGCUGUAUAAAGAAACCAGCUACGUAGUCGUCUUAUCGGUCUUCUGAAUGGAAUCUUGGGUAUGGAUCAAGAUGCUGGAAGUUUCUCUAUUGUCUGCUUAAACACCAGGCUGCUUCAACAAACUUUGGGCCUCUUAGCAAAUAUUAGCAGUGCUUGAAAAUGUGGAAAGAAACCUUUGAGUUGUUUUUUUUCUCCAAAUCUUGUUCUAUCCUCUGAAUAAAAUAACACUGCUGUGCAACUUGUGUGUGGCUGUGUGAUGUUUACGUGUGGAUGUAGGCUGAUGGAGAGAGCUGGGGGGAUUCCACACGUCGUACUGAGGGCGCUUCCAUGCACCCCCAGUGUGCCCCCAAAGUGAUCGUGUAGCUUGCUUGG